This 101-nucleotide ribosomal RNA is filed under the name uncultured bacterium. Its description in RNAcentral is "partial 16S ribosomal RNA". It matches the Rfam family "Bacterial small subunit ribosomal RNA", at positions 1384 to 1482 of the family's 1533-position model. The record is from RNAcentral.
UACACACCGCCCGUCACACCAUGGGAGUCGUUUGCUCCAGAAGUACCUGCACCAACUCGCAAGAGAGGUAGGGUCCCAAGGAGUGACCGGUAACUGGGGUG